This is a non-coding RNA of Procambarus clarkii (red swamp crayfish), 674 nucleotides long. Lineage: Eukaryota; Metazoa; Arthropoda; Malacostraca; Decapoda; Cambaridae. The record is from RefSeq and is a predicted model, not a curated record.
UUGGAUCUUCUGUUCAUCUAGGAGCAUCUGUCCCACAACCUGAAACAGUUCAUAUAAAUACUAUAGAUUAGGAAGUCCAGAACAACAUCCUAGAGUUUGAAGGUGGUGUUUGCUCGACAUUCAGAAUCGGGUACUUUGCUAGAUUACAAUGGUAUCAAAGCAGCGAGUGGCUGUUCUACUCGGCACAUCUAUGAAGCUGGUUGUGGAGGGUGCUUCCAACAUAACUUCAGGAACAGUGUACAGAACAAUUGGUGGAACUUGUAUGCUACAGAAAGUAGCACAGGGGCUGGCCAGCUGAGCAGACAGCACACUGGAGAUGUGAUCCUGUGGUCCCAGGUUGAAUCCUGGAAAUGGUGGGCCGAGUUUUUCACCCUAUGCCCCUAAUAAGAAUUGGGAAGUCCAGCUGUUCAUCCUAGAGUUUGAAGGUGUUGAUUGCUUGACAUUCAGAAUGGGGUGGUAAUGGAGAUUAUGAUGGUAUCAAGGAAUUGACUGGCUUAAGAAGUGUGGCUGUUCUACUCUGCACAUCCAAUAAACUGGUGGUGGUUGUCCUUGGUACUCUGGAUGUUUUCCUGGCCUUUGAAGUUGUUUGGAGUCUUCAGUUGAAACUUCAACCUGAAACAAAAUUGUCAACAUUAGUUAUAUUGUAUACUAUUUAAUAAAUCUUUUAAUGAAAA